GCGAAAGUGGCGGAACUGGCAGACGCGCCGGACUUAGGAUCCGGUGGCUGGAAGGCCAUGGGGGUUCGAGUCCCCCCUUUCGCA
This 84-nucleotide transfer RNA is filed under the name Acidobacteriota bacterium. Its description in RNAcentral is "Acidobacteria bacterium tRNA-Leu". It matches the Rfam family "tRNA". Rfam says of the family: Transfer RNA (tRNA) molecules are approximately 80 nucleotides in length. Their secondary structure includes four short double-helical elements and three loops (D, anti-codon, and T loops). Further hydrogen bonds mediate the characteristic L-shaped molecular structure. tRNAs have two regions of fundamental functional importance: the anti-codon, which is responsible for specific mRNA codon recognition, and the 3' end, to which the tRNAs corresponding amino acid is attached (by aminoacyl-tRNA synthetases). tRNAs cope with the degeneracy of the genetic code in two manners: having more than one tRNA (with a specific anti-codon) for a particular amino acid; and 'wobble' base-pairing, i.e. permitting non-standard base-pairing at the 3rd anti-codon position. The record is from RNAcentral. RNAcentral also lists the same sequence under 1 other name. Lineage: Bacteria; Pseudomonadati; Acidobacteriota.